UACGAGUGCCCCCAAGCGUUAUCCGGAAUUAUUGGGCGUAAAGGUAGUGUAGGCGGUCUGAUUAGUCGGUCGUGAAAGCUCCUGGCUUAACUGGGAAAACGCGACCGAAACGGUCAGACUAGAGGAGGUGAGGGGUCUAUGGAACUCAUGGUGUAGGGGUGAAAUCCGUUGAUAUCAUGGGGAACACCAAAAGUGAAGGCAGUAGACUGGCACC
This 214-nucleotide ribosomal RNA is filed under the name uncultured bacterium. Its description in RNAcentral is "partial 16S ribosomal RNA". It matches the Rfam family "Bacterial small subunit ribosomal RNA", at positions 524 to 736 of the family's 1533-position model. The record is from RNAcentral.